GACGAUAUAUGAGGAUAUUAUUUGUUUGAUAUCGCUAAAGGAGAGGUUUUUAGUGGCCAUUCGAUUCUGUAGCUUAACAGAAUAUUUUGUGUUGAGAUGGAAUAUUGUGGAACUUUUUUGAUAGAGAAAGUAUUAAACAUGAUUAAAAUUGAACAACAUGUUAGUUGGGGUGUUUAAUUAAAAUAAUUGAAGUUUAGGGAUAUUUGUCAACAUAACAUAUAGUUGAGAUUGUCUAUUAAUUUUGUGGUAUAUAGUUUUAUAAUUUUAUGGCCACUUCUUGGGUAACCUUUUGGGCGGGGAUUUUUUCUAAAUAAGCCCAAUUAUUUUUCAUUUGCUUUUAAUCGGCAAAAAACAUAGUUGAAUUUGGUAGGAGAUAUGCUGUAGCUAUAUGUAAUAUAAAGUGGAAACAUAGUUGAAUAUGGUAGGAGAUAUGCUAUAGCUAUAUGUAAUAUUAAAUGGAUGACUUGGCCAAUACCUCUAAACAACCAAUUUAAAGUAAACAGUAGUUAGUUAAACACAAUAUUUCUCUCUCUUUCUGUUGUGCUUUUUACUGGGUUGCAUCGAGCAUAUUGCUACUAGGAUAACUUUGUUUGGCUGAUAACCUCUAAACAACCAAUUUAAAGUAAACAGUAGUUAAUUAAACACAAUAUUUCUCUCUUUCUGUUGUGCUUUUUACUGGGUUGCAUCGAGCAUAUUGCUACUAGGAUAACUUUGUUUGGAAAUGGGAUUUCUUGGCUUAUUUGUUGAGUGUGUAGAUGAAUUUUGAUUGAUCUCAGGAACAAGAUCCAUGAUCUAUUAGUUUUAUUGAGGUUCAGUUCAAGAUGCUGAAGUAGUGAGCUGUUUCUGUUUCAAACAUUGUCUUUUUCUUAUAAUAAUAAUUAUUAAAGUGGCCCAUGUUGUCUCAUAAAUUUUCCUUUUAGUUGGCGUGACACCUCAUGUUGUUAUGUUUGUAUGCUCACUUGGUGUAAUCUAACUUUGGUGCUUCAGAG
Molecule: long non-coding RNA, 989 nt
Filed under: Ananas comosus (pineapple)
Lineage: Eukaryota; Viridiplantae; Streptophyta; Magnoliopsida; Poales; Bromeliaceae
Description: long non-coding RNA (ACOM_LNC014571)
Source: RNAcentral